GCCUCUGUGGUGGGCAGUGGAGUGUUUCCCAUGUGGUAUUGGUGUGCUGGAUAUCCCUUCACUGGUAGCCUGGUAACAUACACUCCCAGGUCUUUCUCUGCCUCUGUGGUGGAUAGUGGAGUGUCUCCCAUGUGGUAUUGGUGUGCUGGAUAUCCCUUCACUGGUAGCCUGGUAACAUACACUCCCAGGUCUUUCUCUGCCUCUGUGGUGGAUAGUGGAGUGUUUCCCAUGUGGUAUUGGUAUGCUGGAUAUCCCUUCACUGGUAGCCUGGUAACAUACACUCCCGGGUCUUUCUCUGCCUCUGUGGUGGAUAGUGGAGUGUUUCCCAUGUGGUAUUGGUGUGCUGGAUAUCCCUUCACUGGUAGCCUGGUAACAUACACUCCCAGGUCUUUCUCUGCCUCUGUGGUGGAUAGUGGAGUGUUUCCCAUGUGGUAUUGGUGUGCUGGAUAUCCCUUCACUGGUAGCCUGGUAACAUACACUCCCAGGUCUUUCUCUGCCUCUGUGGUGGAUAGUGGAGUGUUUCCCAUGUGGUAUUGGUGUGCUGGAUAUCCCUUCACUGGUAGCCUGGUAACAUACGCUCCCAGGUGUUUCUCUGCCUCUGUGGUGGAUAGUG
Eriocheir sinensis (Chinese mitten crab) is the source of this 613-nucleotide long non-coding RNA. RefSeq lists it as uncharacterized. The record is from RefSeq and is a predicted model, not a curated record. Lineage: Eukaryota; Metazoa; Arthropoda; Malacostraca; Decapoda; Varunidae. The transcript is spliced from 3 exons.